CGAAGAACCUUACCUGGUCUUGACAUCCACAGAAGAAUCCAGAGAUGGAUUUGUGCCUUCGGGAACUGUGAGACAGGUGCUGCAUGGCUGUCGUCAGCUCGUGUUGUGAAAUGUUGGGUUAAGUCCCGCAACGAGCGCAACCCUUAUCCUUUGUUGCCAGCGGUUAGGCCGGGAACUCAAAGGAGACUGCCAGUGAUAAACUGGAGGAAGGUGGGGAUGACGUCAAGUCAUCAUGGCCCUUACGACCAGGGCUACACACGUGCUACAAUGGCGCAUACAAAGAGAAGCGACCUCGCGAGAGCAAGCGGACCUCAUAAAGUGCGUCGUAGUCCGGAUUGGAGUCUGCAACUCGACUCCAUGAAGUCGGAAUCGCUAGUAAUCGUGGAUCAGAAUGCCACGGUGAAUACGUUCCCGGGCCUUGUACACACCGCCCGUCACACCAUGGGAGUGGGUUGCAAAAGAAGUAGGUAGCUUAACCUUCGGGAGGGCGCUUACCACUUUGUGAUUCAUGACUGGGGUGAAGUCGUAACAAGGUAACCGUAGGGGAACCUGCGGUUGGA
RNAcentral lists this ribosomal RNA (560 nucleotides) under Salmonella enterica. RNAcentral's name for it is "bacterial SSU rRNA". It matches the Rfam family "Bacterial small subunit ribosomal RNA", at positions 962 to 1522 of the family's 1533-position model. Lineage: Bacteria; Pseudomonadati; Pseudomonadota; Gammaproteobacteria; Enterobacterales; Enterobacteriaceae. The record is from RNAcentral.